Molecule: ribosomal RNA, 450 nt
Filed under: uncultured bacterium
Lineage: Bacteria
Description: bacterial SSU rRNA
Rfam family: Bacterial small subunit ribosomal RNA
Source: RNAcentral
AGCGAACGCUGGCGGCAGGCCUAACACAUGCAAGUCGAGCGCCCAGCAAUGGGAGCGGCAGACGGGUGAGUAACGCGUGGGGAUGUACCCAAUGGUACGGAAUAACCCAGGGAAACUUGGAUUAAUACCGUAUGAGCCCUUCGGGGGAAAGAUUUAUCGCCAUUGGAUCAACCCGCGUCGGAUUAGCUAGUUGGUGAGGUAAAGGCUCACCAAGGCGACGAUCCGUAGCUGGUCUGAGAGGAUGAUCAGCCACACUGGGACUGAGACACGGCCCAGACUCCUACGGGAGGCAGCAGUGGGGAAUAUUGGACAAUGGGCGCAAGCCUGAUCCAGCCAUGCCGCGUGAGUGAUGAAGGCCUUAGGGUUGUAAAGCUCUUUCGCCGGUGAAGAUAAUGACGGUAACCGGAGAAGAAGCCCCGGCUAACUUCGUGCCAGCCGCCGCCGUAACAC